This 165-nucleotide unclassified non-coding RNA is filed under the name soil metagenome. RNAcentral's name for it is "partial internal transcribed spacer 1". The record is from RNAcentral.
GUGAAUUGAAUAUGUUAGCGGACCUCUUCGGAGUCCCUAGCAUCAAAUCAUAUCCAUAACACCUGUGAACUGUAAGGCUGUCUUGAAAAACGAAAGUGAUUAGAGCGCCUGCCCAUUUUAUACAAACAUUAAAGUAACAAAACGUAGUCUUAUUAUAAUCUAAUA